Molecule: non-coding RNA, 541 nt
Organism: Elaeis guineensis (African oil palm)
Lineage: Eukaryota; Viridiplantae; Streptophyta; Magnoliopsida; Arecales; Arecaceae
Source: RefSeq, a predicted model, not a curated record
UGUUAGACUAGGUCUUAUGACCUAGUUCACCUUAUAAAAGGUUACCGCCCCAUAUGAUAAAUAUAAGGAGUCUAAAAUUUAUAGUUUUUGAUAGAAAAAGCAGAGAAGAAAGAGGAUGGCAUGGGUGGUUUGAGGUGCCAAUAUCCUUGGAGGAGAGUCUUCAAUCAAGAGAUCAAAAGUUGAUGUCUUGUAGAAACAAAAGCCAAUCCCUUAUUGCGCCCAUUGUCGGAGAAGAAAACAUGCAAAAGAAGUUCGCACCGAUCGAAAUUGUAUCCGAUGGAGACCCUCCGAUGCUUAAGUCAGUGGGGAGUGAUGAAUAGCAGAUAAAAUUUUUAGAGAGGCAAAAUUUUAGCUCAGAAGUCUCUUACCAAUGCUGUUUAUUUAUUUCUUUUUAUAAAUGAGUUAUUGGUAACCGUUUGUAAUAGUUAGGUACGUGGAUCCUGCUUAUUUCGGCGCUAUGUGGUUGUGGGAUGGAUGAUUAUAUCCACUACUGAUCAUGGUAUGUGGCCAUUAUGCAUUUUUUUGCACUGAUAAUUUUUGA